Homo sapiens (human) is the source of this 894-nucleotide long non-coding RNA. Ensembl annotates it as MAGEB17 antisense RNA 1. Its record names the gene MAGEB17-AS1. The record is from Ensembl. Lineage: Eukaryota; Metazoa; Chordata; Mammalia; Primates; Hominidae.
CAUAGAAGUCCUCUCCAGUGUACUCAGUGUCCUCUCCGGGACUCCAAUGAGUGUCCAGUUCUCCUCCCUCAGCUGAACUGUGCUUUUGCCUUUAGACAGAGUCACUACCCUCGUUAGAGCAUCUAAGCAGAAAAAAAGGGGUCCUCAGCUGAGGUCUUUGCUAUGGCUGACAAGAUUAAGCAUUUUUUUAUUUUUGUUUUUAUUUUUUGCUGAUAACCAUUCCCUUAUGUCACUCUCGGUCCUCACCUUGAUUCGAGUCAGUUUCUGGGGCUCCACUAUGCACAGCUGGGGCUUCCCCCACCAGACCAAGAUUCUCCCUUCCCUGAGACCCUCCAGGCCGAAAUGACAGUCACCUCAACCUGACAGCUCUUCCUGAGCUUCCCAAGUCACAGGAGAGGCUUUUGGUUUUGGACCAUGAGAAUGGCUUACAUAUUCAAAAGGUUGGAUUUGGGAAGCAAUGCUAAGCAGUGGAAUGGACAUCGACAUAGAGAGAUCAGCUCCACACUUAUACUCUGCCACUCAACUUCCCCAUGUGACUUGAGGAUCACUCUAACUCCAAAACAUAGCAAGCUCGCGGAACAUCAGGGUUCAUGCAAAGUAUUCCAAGGAGCCCCUUGAAGCAACAGAAUGGAUUGCUCUUCUAUGGUGGAAUGGCACCCUGGAUGAUUAAAACCGUAGCAGCAAACAAAACCUCCAUCAAGUAAGAAUUCAGAGUGUGAGAUAUCACGCACAGCCACGCGUGGAUCUUUAUAUACGUGUCAAUGUGUUUGAUUGUAUUUUUGCUUUCAAAGUAUGUAUUGAGCAUUUCUUCUAGGUCCUCAGUAACAUCUUUUUAAAAAAAAAAUAAAUGCUUAGGGAAUUGUUUUAUAUUAAACUCGCUUCCAUUGUUAUCAA